GGCUGGUCCGAUGGUAGUGGGUUAUCAAAACUUAUUAGCAUUAGUGUCACUAAAGUUGGUAUUUAACCCUCCAGUGCUAAAUUUGAUUGGCUUUUA
This 96-nucleotide Y RNA is filed under the name Microcebus murinus (gray mouse lemur). Its description in RNAcentral is "Y RNA (ENSMICG00000043522.1)". It matches the Rfam family "Y RNA". From Rfam's summary of the family: Y RNAs are components of the Ro ribonucleoprotein particle (Ro RNP), in association with Ro60 and La proteins. The Y RNAs and Ro60 and La proteins are well conserved, but the function of the Ro RNP is not known. Lineage: Eukaryota; Metazoa; Chordata; Mammalia; Primates; Cheirogaleidae. The record is from Rfam by way of RNAcentral.